RNAcentral lists this unclassified non-coding RNA (261 nucleotides) under Hevea brasiliensis (rubber tree). The record is from RNAcentral. Lineage: Eukaryota; Viridiplantae; Streptophyta; Magnoliopsida; Malpighiales; Euphorbiaceae.
GAAGGCUGAGAAGGCUGAGAAGGUGAAGAAGACUAGUCCAGAAAAUGGGAAGGUAGAAGAAGAAGGAGAUUGGUCUGCUAAAAGCUAUGGAAGAUAUAGCAGCAGAAUUGCUUUGCCUGAGAAUGUUCAAUUUGAGCAGAUUAAGGCAGAAGUAAAAGAUGGGGUCUUGUACAUAACUAUACCAAAGGCUAGUGUUACAAGUAAAAUUGUGGACAUCAAUGUCCAGUGAAAAGUUGGGAUUAGUCUUCAAGAGUAGUUAUA